UGUACCGCAAAAGUCUGAUUGAGCGAUGGAGUGACACAAGAAGGAAUGCGCGCAUGCGAUUGGAAGAGCAUGUCCAAGCAGGUAGGUAGUAUGAUAGGGAAAGCCGUCAUACUGAAAGCCGAGAUGCGAUGGGGAGCCUUUGGAGACAAAGGUGAAGGGGCAGGGACUCAAUUGUCGAGAAAAGCUUCUAGUAAGGACUUAGGCGCCCGUACCAAAACCGACACAGGUAGGCAAGAAGAGAAUUCUAAGGUGCGCGGGAAAACCCUCGUUAA
This 272-nucleotide ribosomal RNA is filed under the name Megasphaera cerevisiae. RNAcentral describes it as "partial 23S ribosomal RNA". It matches the Rfam family "Bacterial large subunit ribosomal RNA", at positions 1440 to 1708 of the family's 2925-position model. The record is from RNAcentral. Lineage: Bacteria; Bacillati; Bacillota; Negativicutes; Veillonellales; Veillonellaceae.